GUGUGACUGCGUACCUUUUGUAUAAUGGGUCAGCGACUUAUAUUCUGUAGCAAGGUUAACCGAAUAGGGGAGCCGAAGGGAAACCGAGUCUUAACUGGGCGUUAAGUUGCAGGGUAUAGACCCGAAACCCGGUGAUCUAGCCAUGGGCAGGUUGAAGGUUGGGUAACACUAACUGGAGGACCGAACCGACUAAUGUUGAAAAAUUAGCGGAUGACUUGUGGCUGGGGGUGAAAGGCCAAUCAAACCGGGAGAUAGCUGGUUCUCCCCGAAAGCUAUUUAGGUAGCGCCUCGUGAAUUCAUCUCCGGGGGUAGAGCACUGUUUCGGCAAGGGGGUCAUCCCGACUUACCAACCCGAUGCAAACUGCGAAUACCGGAGAAUGUUAUCACGGGAGACACACGGCGGGUGCUAACGUCCGUCGUGAAGAGGGAAACAACCCAGACCGCCAGCUAAGGUCCCAAAGUCAUGGUUAAGUGGGAAACGAUGUGGGAAGGCCCAGACAGCCAGGAUGUUGGCUUAGAAGCAGCCAUCAUUUAAAGAAAGCGUAAUAGCUCACUGGUCGAGUCGGCCUGCGCGGAAGAUGUAACGGGGCUAAACCAUGCACCGAAGCUGCGGCAGCGACGCUGAUGCGUUGUUGGGUAGGGGAGCGUUCUGUAAGCCUGUGAAGGUGUGCUGUGAGGCAUGCUGGAGGUAUCAGAAGUGCGAAUGCUGACAUAAGUAACGAUAAAGCGGGUGAAAAGCCCGCUCGCCGGAAGACCAAGGGUUCCUGUCCAACGUUAAUCGGGGCAGGGUGAGUCGACCCCUAAGGCGAGGCCGAAAGGCGUAGUCGAUGGGAAACAGGUUAAUAUUCCUGUACUUGGUGUUACUGCGAAGGGGGGACGGAGAAGGCUAUGUUGGCCGGGCGACGGUUGUCCCGGUUUAAGCGUGUAGGCUGGUUUUCCAGGCAAAUCCGGAAAAUCAAGGCUGAGGCGUGAUGACGAGGCACUACGGUGCUGAAGCAACAAAUGCCCUGCUUCCAGGAAAAGCCUCUAAGCAUCAGGUAACAUCAAAUCGUACCCCAAACCGACACAGGUGGUCAGGUAGAGAAUACCAAGGCGCUUGAGAGAACUCGGGUGAAGGAACUAGGCAAAAUGGUGCCGUAACUUCGGGAGAAGGCACGCUGAUAUGUAGGUGAAGNUGGAGCUGAAAUCAGUCGAAGAUACCAGCUGGCUGCAACUGUUUAUUAAAAACACAGCACUGUGCAAACACGAAAGUGGACGUAUACGGUGUGACGCCUGCCCGGUGCCGGAAGGUUAAUUGAUGGGGUCAGCGCAAGCGAAGCUCUUGAUCGAAGCCCCGGUAAACGGCGGCCGUAACUAUAACGGUCCUAAGGUAGCGAAAUUCCUUGUCGGGUAAGUUCCGACCUGCACGAAUGGCGUAAUGAUGGCCAGGCUGUCUCCACCCGAGACUCAGUGAAAUUGAACUCGCUGUGAAGAUGCAGUGUACCCGCGGCAAGACGGAAAGACCCCGUGAACCUUUACUAUAGCUUGACACUGAACAUUGAGCCUUGAUGUGUAGGAUAGGUGGGAGGCUUUGAAGUGUGGACGCCAGUCUGCAUGGAGCCGACCUUGAAAUACCACCCUUUAAUGUUUGAUGUUCUAACGUUGACCCGUAAUCCGGGUUGCGGACAGUGUCUGGUGGGUAGUUUGACUGGGGCGGUCUCCUCCUAAAGAGUAACGGAGGAGCACGAAGGUUGGCUAAUCCUGGUCGGACAUCAGGAGGUUAGUGCAAUGGCAUAAGCCAGCUUGACUGCGAGCGUGACGGCGCGAGCAGGUGCGAAAGCAGGUCAUAGUGAUCCGGUGGUUCUGAAUGGAAGGGCCAUCGCUCAACGGAUAAAAGGUACUCCGGGGAUAACAGGCUGAUACCGCCCAAGAGUUCAUAUCGACGGCGGUGUUUGGCACCUCGAUGUCGGCUCAUCACAUCCUGGGGCUGAAGUAGGUCCCAAGGGUAUGGCUGUUCGCCAUUUAAAGUGGUACGCGAGCUGGGUUUAGAACGUCGUGAGACAGUUCGGUCCCUAUCUGCCGUGGGCGCUGGAGAACUGAGGGGGGCUGCUCCUAGUACGAGAGGACCGGAGUGGACGCAUCACUGGUGUUCGGGUUGUCAUGCCAAUGGCACUGCCCGGUAGCUAAAUGCGGAAGAGAUAAGUGCUGAAAGCAUCUAAGCACGAAACUUGCCCCGAGAUGAGUUCUCCCUGAC
Molecule: ribosomal RNA, 2233 nt
Filed under: Escherichia coli
Lineage: Bacteria; Pseudomonadati; Pseudomonadota; Gammaproteobacteria; Enterobacterales; Enterobacteriaceae
Description: bacterial LSU rRNA
Rfam family: Bacterial large subunit ribosomal RNA
Source: RNAcentral